UGGGGAAUAUUGGACAAUGGGCGCAAGCCUGAUCCAGCCAUGCCGCGUGUGUGAAGAAGGCCUUCGGGUUGUAAAGCACUUUUGUCCGGAAAGAAAUCCAUUCGAUUAAUACUCGGAUGGGAUGACGGUACCGGAAGAAUAAGCACCGGCUAACUUCGUGCCAGCAGCCGCGGUAAUACGAAGGGUGCAAGCGUUACUCGGAAUUACUGGGCGUAAAGCGUGCGUAGGUGGUUCGUUAAGUCUGAUGUGAAAGCCCUGGGCUCAACCUGGGAAUGGCAUUGGAUACUGGCGACCUAGAGUGCGGUAGAGGGGUGCGGAAUUCCCGGUGUAGCAGUGAAAUGCGUAGAUAUCGGGAGGAACAUCCGUGGCGAAGGCGGCACCCUGGACCAGCACUGACACUGAGGCACGAAAGCGUGGGGAGCAAACAGG
This 429-nucleotide ribosomal RNA is filed under the name uncultured bacterium. RNAcentral describes it as "bacterial SSU rRNA". It matches the Rfam family "Bacterial small subunit ribosomal RNA", at positions 355 to 776 of the family's 1533-position model. The record is from RNAcentral.